Molecule: long non-coding RNA, 200 nt
Filed under: Brassica napus (rape)
Lineage: Eukaryota; Viridiplantae; Streptophyta; Magnoliopsida; Brassicales; Brassicaceae
Description: long non-coding RNA (BNAP_LNC023582)
Source: RNAcentral
AUAUAUAUAAUAUAAUUUAUAAAUAAAAAAUAUUCAAAAAACCGAACUACCAGAAUUACUCAAAUAUUUUUCAGUUUUUAGUGUUUAACUCAGGUUUUCGGGUUUUUGGUUUGCGGGUUUUAAACCCGAACCAAAUCCGAAUUAUUUAUAAUUCAGUUCCACUUCUAGUUUUAUAAAAAAAAGUAGAAACCCGACCUGAA